GCGAGGAGGAGGCUACUGAGACUAAUACUCUUGGAUAGUGGACGUUACUCGCAGAUAAGCACCGGCUAACUCUGUGCCAGCAGCCGCGGUAAUACAGGAGGGUGCGAGUACGUUAAUCGGUAUUUACGUGGGACGUAAAGCGUGCGUAGGCGGCUUUUAAGUCGGAUGUGAAAUCCCCGAGCUUAACUUGGGAAUUGCAUUCGAUACUGGGAAGCUAGAGUAUGGGAGAGGAUGGUAGAAUUCCAGGUGUAGCGGUGAAAUGCGUAGAGAUCUGGAGGAAUACCGAUGGCGAAGGCAGCCAUCUGGCCUAAUACUGACGCUGAGGUACGAAAGCAUGGGGAGCAAACAGGAUUAGAUACCCUGGUAG
Molecule: ribosomal RNA, 367 nt
Filed under: uncultured bacterium
Lineage: Bacteria
Description: bacterial SSU rRNA
Rfam family: Bacterial small subunit ribosomal RNA
Source: RNAcentral